CUCAGGAGGCUGAGGCAGGAGAAUUGCUUGAACCCGGGAGCCAGAAGUUGCACUAAGCCAAGAUGAUGCCACUGCACUCCAGCCUGGGCUACAGUGUGAAACUCUGUCUCAAAA
Long non-coding RNA from Sapajus apella (tufted capuchin), 114 nucleotides. RefSeq lists it as uncharacterized. Lineage: Eukaryota; Metazoa; Chordata; Mammalia; Primates; Cebidae. The transcript is spliced from 2 exons. The record is from RefSeq and is a predicted model, not a curated record.